AUGUUAGGUGGUAUAGAUGAAGACAAAUCCGAGAGCCUAAAACCCAGACGAGAUAGCGCAACAGCAUUGCAGAGGAUUUUAGCGGAGAACUCCAAAAUCCUCAGCCGGAUACAGAUUCAAAGAACUGACAAAAGCAUUUCCAAACUCAGCGAUUUAGACGAGAUAAGCGUAAGAAAAGAGGUAUCGUCCAGAGGUAGUUUUGAGGAUAAUACGUCCAAAUUCAGCAAAACUAGGCAGUAUUCCUCACUGGACAGUAGUCAAUUUUCUUUCUUUAAAAAAGGAGAUAUAUCAAAGCAUAGCUUAGGUGGAUCAUUCUCCGAGAAUAAACUCCACUCGGAUGAAUAUACUUGCUUGAGGCCGCAUCAGAAGCCACUUCUGGAGGACGUUGAGGACAAAACCAUCGAAGAGCUCCUACAUGGAAGUGUCAGCUCACACGAACGAGGGACUCCAAUUGACGAGAUUGUAGGGAGUUCGGUGUCAAGGACGCAAUCUACCGGAUCGAUUCUAAACUAUCCAUUACAAACAGGCUCUGAACUGGGGUUCGAGAGGGACGGAGCUGUCUCCCGGUUAAAAUCUUCGGGGACCGAGUUUGAGAUGGGUUCGUUGGAAAAAGCGAGCACAUUUUCGAGCGGCUUUCUACAGGGGGCAAGGUUGGAAAUUGGAAGUGAGCAAGUAAAUAUUUCGAGUCGGGAAGAUGACCUGGAGAGAUUUCCGAGUGUUGGGAGUUUCAGCGGAGGUCGCCGGGCCCGGAGUCAGGACGAGGAGAGCGAGAUGUCCGUGGGGACCGCGGCAGACGAGACCCAGCUCCAGAGCGAGUACUUCGAGUCGGUUACGACCGAGAACGAAACAGAGAAAUUCACAUCCUCCUGCGAAAGCUCCACCUACGAUCUGGAAACAAUGCUCAGCGACAGCCCUCCUCUCCAUCAUAACUUCCCUUCGUCGAGGAGUUUGUACACGACUAUCUUGUCCCACAAGUUCGACCCCCAGGACAUCGUAAGCUCCCCUCUCGAUCAUCUGAAAACUGACUGUUUGUCCGAUUGA
This 1041-nucleotide long non-coding RNA is filed under the name Bemisia tabaci. Its description in RNAcentral is "lncRNA ENSSSA2NGG006601". Lineage: Eukaryota; Metazoa; Arthropoda; Insecta; Hemiptera; Aleyrodidae. The record is from RNAcentral.